CGGGGGGGGUAAGCGUUGCUCGGAAUUACUGGGCGUAAAGGGCUCGUAGGCGGCCAACUAAGUCAGACGUGAAAUCCCUCAGCUUAACUGGGGAACUGCGUCUGAUACUGGAUGGCUUGGAUUCGGGAGAGGAAUGCGGAAUUCCAGGUGUAGCGGUGAAAUGCGUAGAUAUCUGGAGGAACACCGGUGGCGAAGGCGGCAUUCUGGACCGAUAUUGACGCUGAGGAGCGAAAGCCAGGGGAGCAAACGGGAUUAGAUACCCCGGUAGUCCUGGCCCUAAACGAUGAAUGCUUGGUGUGGCGGGUAUCGAUCCCUGCCGUGCCGAAGCUAACGCAUUAAGCAUUCCGCCUGGGGAGUACGGUCGCAAGGCUG
Molecule: ribosomal RNA, 372 nt
Filed under: uncultured organism
Description: bacterial SSU rRNA
Rfam family: Bacterial small subunit ribosomal RNA
Source: RNAcentral